This 800-nucleotide ribosomal RNA is filed under the name Roseovarius sp. Its description in RNAcentral is "bacterial SSU rRNA". It matches the Rfam family "Bacterial small subunit ribosomal RNA", at positions 52 to 901 of the family's 1533-position model. The record is from RNAcentral. Lineage: Bacteria; Pseudomonadati; Pseudomonadota; Alphaproteobacteria; Rhodobacterales; Roseobacteraceae.
CACAUGCAAGUCGAGCGCACCUUCGGGUGAGCGGCGGACGGGUUAGUAACGCGUGGGAACGUACCCAGAUCUAAGGAAUAGCCACUGGAAACGGUGAGUAAUACCUUAUACGCCCUUCGGGGGAAAGAUUUAUCGGAUUUGGAUCGGCCCGCGUUAGAUUAGGUAGUUGGUGGGGUAAUGGCCUACCAAGCCUACGAUCUAUAGCUGGUUUUAGAGGAUGAUCAGCAACACUGGGACUGAGACACGGCCCAGACUCCUACGGGAGGCAGCAGUGGGGAAUCUUAGACAAUGGGGGCAACCCUGAUCUAGCCAUGCCGCGUGAGUGAAGAAGGUCUUAGGAUCGUAAAGCUCUUUCGCCAGGGAUGAUAAUGACAGUACCUGGUAAAGAAACCCCGGCUAACUCCGUGCCAGCAGCCGCGGUAAUACGGAGGGGGUUAGCGUUGUUCGGAAUUACUGGGCGUAAAGCGCGCGUAGGCGGAUCAGAAAGUUGGGGGUGAAAUCCCAGGGCUCAACCCUGGAACUGCCUCCAAAACUCCUGGUCUUGAGUUCGAGAGAGGUGAGUGGAACUCCGAGUGUAGAGGUGAAAUUCGUAGAUAUUCGGAAGAACACCAGUGGCGAAGGCGGCUCACUGGCUCGAUACUGACGCUGAGGUGCGAAAGUGUGGGGAGCAAACAGGAUUAGAUACCCUGGUAGUCCACACCGUAAACGAUGAAUGCCAGUCGUCGGGUAGUAUACUAUUCGGUGACACACCUAACGGAUUAAGCAUUCCGCCUGGGGAGUACGGUCGCAAGAUUAAAACU